RNAcentral lists this ribosomal RNA (497 nucleotides) under uncultured bacterium. RNAcentral's name for it is "partial 16S ribosomal RNA". It matches the Rfam family "Bacterial small subunit ribosomal RNA", at positions 28 to 507 of the family's 1533-position model. The record is from RNAcentral.
GAUGAACGCUGGCGGCGUGCCUAAUACAUGCAAGUCGAGCGAACAGACGAGGAGCUUGCUCCUCUGAUGUUAGCGGCGGACGGGUGAGUAACACGUGGAUAACCUACCUAUAAGACUGGGAUAACUUCGGGAAACCGGAGCUAAUACCGGAUAACAUGUUGAACCGCAUGGUUCAACAGUGAAAGACGGUCUUGCUGUCACUUAUAGAUGGAUCCGCGCCGCAUUAGCUAGUUGGUAAGGUAACGGCUUACCAAGGCAACGAUGCGUAGCCGACCUGAGAGGGUGAUCGGCCACACUGGAACUGAGACACGGUCCAGAAUCCUACGGGAGGCAGCAGUAGGGGAUCUUCCGGAAUGGGCGAAAGGCUGACGGAGCAACGCCGCGUGAGUGAAGAAGGUCUUCGGAUCGUAAAACUCUGUUAUUAGGGAAGAACAAAAGUGUAAGUAACUAUGCACGUCUUGACGGUACCUAAUCAGAAAGCCACGGCUAACUACGUG